UUUCCGUAGGUGAACCUGCGAAAGGAUCAUUACUGAGUGAGGGCCCCUCGGGGUCCAACCUCCCACCCGUGUUUAACGAACCUUGUUUCUUCGGCGGGCCCGCCUCUCGGCCGCCGGCGGGCAUCUGCCCCCGCGCCCGCGCCCGCCGAAGCCACCUGUGAACGCCGUCUGAAGUAUGCUGUCUGAGACAAUUAUUUAAUUAAUUAAAACUUUCAACAACGGAUCCCUUUGUUUCGGCUUCGACGAAGAACGCAGCAGAUCGGAAGAGCAAACACCCAA
This 279-nucleotide unclassified non-coding RNA is filed under the name plant metagenome. RNAcentral's name for it is "partial contains small subunit ribosomal RNA, internal transcribed spacer 1, and 5.8S ribosomal RNA". The record is from RNAcentral.